AUGUUCUCGAUCGCCGUAGAGAUACAGCUUCCCUUCGGGGCAGAGUGACAGGUGGUGCAUGGUUGUCGUCAGCUCGUGUCGUGAGAUGUUGGGUUAAGUCCCGCAACGAGCGCAACCCUUAAGUUUAGUUGCCAUCAUUAGGUUGGGCACUCUAGACUGACUGCCGGUGACAAACCGGAGGAAGGUGGGGACGACGUCAAAUCAUCAUCGCCCCUUAUGAUUUGGGCUACACACGUGCUACAAUGGACAGGUUACAAAGGGCAGCAACGCCGCGAGGCCAAGCGAACUCCCAAUAAAACUGUUCUCAGGUUCGGAUUGGAGUCUGACAACUCGACUCCAUGAAGCUGGAAUCGCUAGUAAUCGUAGAUCAGCAUGCGUACGGUAGAAUACCGUUCCGGGUCUUGUACGUCGACGCGGCCG
Molecule: ribosomal RNA, 420 nt
Filed under: uncultured bacterium
Lineage: Bacteria
Description: bacterial SSU rRNA
Rfam family: Bacterial small subunit ribosomal RNA
Source: RNAcentral